This is a non-coding RNA of Heterocephalus glaber (naked mole-rat), 1757 nucleotides long. Lineage: Eukaryota; Metazoa; Chordata; Mammalia; Rodentia; Bathyergidae. The record is from RefSeq and is a predicted model, not a curated record.
GCCCCGCGCCCUGGGACUUGCGGUGGCCCCGCGGUGGCCCCGCCCCGGCCCCGCCUCCGGGCUCUGGAGUCCCUGCGAUCCCGAAGCGGAGGAGCACGGCCGGCGGGGUCGACGGCUCUCCCAGGUGAACGCCUCUUUGGCGGGGAUCUCAGCGGAGCCGGCUCUCGGGAAGGCUCGAUUUGCACCUCAGGACACCCAGCUGGAGGUGACUCCCAGGCCCCCGGUUCUGUGCGUUAGGUCCUCGGUUGAGAAGUAGGAAUUGACGGGUCCGUCCCCUCGUGCGUGUUCUUCACCUUUCACGAAGUGACCAGCUAUGAAGAAAUGGCCCAACAGUGCUCGUCCCCGGCCUUGGAGGAGGGUGGGACGGUGAGGAUCAGCCGCUGGGUUCGGGCUAGCGCUGCUGAGGAGCGGGGAGGGCCGAGAAGUGGGCUGGGUUGACGGUCCCAGAGCCCCUGCGUUCGGUCCUGUGCCCAGAGCGUCCACUGGGCACGCCUGAGUGAGACUGUCCUCAAGAGCUCUCCGGUGGAAAGGAAAAAUGCAGAAAGGACGAAGAGGCCCUAUGGGUUAGAAGAGUUUACACCAGGUGGCCAUAUCUUUCAGUGGGAGAGGAGAAAACUGAAAAGGGAAAUGAAAGUCCAGAUUGUUAAAGGAUCUUUCAAAGAUCCUGUCAGACACCUGGAGUCCAGCCCUACUUCACAGAAGGCAGUGUUGACCCAACACUGUCUAACCUAGCACGUAUCCUGGUCCUGUCCACCCUCUCCUGGGAGGCAGCUCUGUGCUCACCUCAGCUGGUUCAUCUUUUGGGAGCAUCGCUGGCAUCUCUGGGACUUGGGUGACUUCUGUAUUUUCUGGUGGUUUACAGGCAGGCAGGUCCUCACAUGUACACUGUUCUUCACACAGGACCUGAGCUGGAUGAGGAGGGGAUCUGCUGCCCAGCUGGAAGUUUUCCUCGGGUGGAUCUUGGAGCUGGAGGGCAUUGUCUUUGUCAUAGCCAUGGCUUUGUUUAUCAGCAUCCUGAGUCUGAGGAAGUGGGUCUCACACCCACAGCGCUGAGUGAUGAGAUGUAUGCAGGUGAAGACUGUGGAGAAGGAGCAGCAGCUGCCUGAGAAGGGCAAUGGCUUCCUCCAAAUCUCCAUGUGAUUGAAGGUGCAGUGACCAAGUCAGGGCUGAGCGUGGGGACUGUCUGGUGACUUCCCCAGGCCAACCUCGCCGAUCAGGAGGCUCUCCCAUAGGAGGGUCCUGGUGGCCUUCUUCCCCACCACUCAUCUGAUCGUGGUCUCAUGAGUGUUUACUGAAGUUGGCCUGACAAGACUCCAAGGAAGCCUCUGAUCAUAAACCUGGUGGAUAGCAGACACAUGUGGCCUUCUCUCACUGGACCUUCUCCUCUGAGUCCCAUUAGGAUAUUUCAUACUGGACCUAGGAUCCACCCAGGUAAUCAAAGAUGACCUUUUCUCAAGGUCCUUGAUUUAAUUACAGCUGUGGACUCUUUUUCCAAAUAAGGUACCAUUCCCAGCAUCCCAAUGUUAGGACGUGGGCAGAUCACUUUGUGGCUGCCACAUGGCCUGAUGUACCUACCAACUUGGAAGUCACUGAAAGGAAGUGUCCUGGAGGACUCAGUACUUGUCUUGAUUCAGCUCCAUUCUGGCCUGAGAAUGAAGAGAACUAAUGCACUUGCCAGCAAAGAGUUGUGUGGGUAAUUAUGCCUACUGAGUUGGCCAAUACUUACGCAAAUACUUUAUUAAAAAAUAAGAAUCUUG